UUGCCGCUGCUUUUUUUGACCUAAAGUAAAGAAAUAAGGGGGAGAGGGAAUCUUUCCCCCGCUGAUUGACCGUUAGCAGGCUGCGAAAAUGAUUGCUAACAGAACAAUCAGUAUAAUGACCUGUGGCAUCAUAACCCUUUCAUUAUU
RNAcentral lists this small RNA (147 nucleotides) under Salmonella enterica subsp. houtenae str. ATCC BAA-1581. RNAcentral's name for it is "QUAD RNA". It matches the Rfam family "Short Intergenic Abundant RNA". From Rfam's summary of the family: This family contains multiple ncRNA from E. coli that were identified in a large scale screen of E. coli, were they were called candidates 43,55 and 61. The record is from RNAcentral. Lineage: Bacteria; Pseudomonadati; Pseudomonadota; Gammaproteobacteria; Enterobacterales; Enterobacteriaceae.